RNAcentral lists this antisense RNA (69 nucleotides) under Micromonospora nigra. Its description in RNAcentral is "ASpks TB sRNA". It matches the Rfam family "ASpks TB sRNA". Lineage: Bacteria; Bacillati; Actinomycetota; Actinomycetes; Micromonosporales; Micromonosporaceae. The record is from Rfam by way of RNAcentral.
CUUGAUCGACCCCAAUAGCAGCGGUACGUCCCGGCCCUGCCCGUACGUGGCCAGCAGCGCCUGCGCCUC